AUGGCAUCUAAUGUGUGCCAGGCAUGGACUAGCUUCUUUAUGUUUAUUUUCAUAUUUAAUCCUUAAAGAAUUCUGAUUUUAAAAUGAGAAAAAUGAGACUCUAAGAAAUUAAUUUGCCCCAGGUCACACCACUAGGAAACUGCAGAACCUUCAUCUUACUUAUUUCACUUCUCUUGCUUUGCUAAAUGCCACAAGUGUAGAGAUAAGGGAGUUCACAGGCAGGGUAUCUAGCUUAGAGGUCUUUAUGGGAGUAUUCACAGAGGAGCGCAGAGGCUGAAGGAUGGAUGAGAUGUCAUAUCAGGAAAUGGGGUUAGGAAAAGAGGGAAGGAGGAAUUCCAUUUUUAUAGGGUGUUGCAUGCAGCAAUCCACACUUAUCUAAAAAAAAAAUUUCAAAUGGUGAAAUUCUGGAUGCUGUAGAAAGUUGAAAGGGAAAAAUAUUCAGGGGUAAGGGGCAUUCAAGGAUUUCCCCAGUCCACACUGUCAUACCAUUCCUAAGCCAGCCCUAAGAAGACUGGCUGUGAAGGCCUCUCAGGGAUACGCCGUCCUCAGAAUGGACACAUGUGUGGUCAUCACUGCCUGAGCUGUGGGACUGUCCAGCUCUACCCCAGACUCGGAUGUCAGCCCAAAGAUAUUAAGCUGGGAAGUUGAUCAAGGGCAGUGUUGAGGAUAUUAGCAACCCAUCCAGCGGCCCAGAGCAAUUUAUGAGAAUUCUAAUUAGAUACAAGGACUUCUGUGACCACACAAACACUUUCUAUUCUGCCUGCCAGCACGGGGUCCCCUGCCGUCAAAAGCUAUCUUGUAUGCUUCAGUGGAAGAUACAAGGCCAACAAAAAAAGGACUCAGGAUGCCAACACUGACCCACUCAGAGGGAGAAAAGAGACAUUCAGAAUUGGUCAUGGCUUUCCGGGAAGAUCAUCUGGAGACACCCCCUGGACCAAUGGCAUUUUCUCUCCCAAGUCUUAUGCCUCCCGAUGGCCUCAAGAGAUGAAGCUGAAUAGAGACAUUUCCCAAACCCAAGUCUGACCAGGAAGGCAAUGAGCCAGAACAGAAAAUAUCGAUGAGAACCUAGAUGUUCUAUCAAACCAAACCCUUGCCAGGAAGAGGAACACAUUAGCACUUGAGAUGAGGACACUGAGGCCCAGAGAUCUCCGCCCAAUUUUUCCAGACCGGUCUGUCACUCACCAAAGCAGUGUGCCUUCAGGACACCAUUGCCGGGCUCCCCCAGUGCAAGGCCUCAGCUGGGAUGCAGGGUCAGAGAACUGGCUCUGCAUACUUUGUGGAAAGUUGGGAAAGUCUAAAUAUUUCUCUAAGCCUUGAUUUCCCCAUCUGACAGGAAGGAAAACAUAAUCUGUCUCCUAUGUUUAUGCACUGGUUGAAUGAAGUCCCAGCCAUGAAUUUGUUUGGUGAAUUGCAAAGCACUAUGCGAUGCUGUAUUUUCUUCACCACAACUCAUGCUCUGACAUAGGAACAGUAUUGGUUCUUUCUGGAAUGCUACUCUUUAUAGAGCUUCUUAGAUUGUACUUUUCAAGGGUUGAGGUCAGACCUAACCAUUCUGCUGCAGAUUUCACGAAGCAUAGCGUUUUUAUAAUAUUAGAAAGAUGGCUCAAAAAGGUUUUCUUUGUUCAGACUUUUCUUGAACAUUUACUAUGUGCUGGACACUGCACUCUUUGCCGGAAUAUCUCAUUUAAUCUUUACAGUGCAUUUCCAAGUGAAGGCAGCACAAUUAGUAUAAUUUUAUAAAAGUGGAAUACUGGAGUCUAAGAUGUUAAUAACUUGUCCAAGGUCCCAACACUGGAUGUCACUGGAGUGGGAAUUCGAAUCCAGGAUGCUUAUCCUUUAAGCACCCCAUCAUACUGUUAGUAGUGACGACAUCACGGAACUUGUCACACAGGAGGACUGAAAGACAGGGACUCUCAGGGGCCAGAAAACAUGAGAGUGAAAGAGAGAUUCCGAAAAACAUCGAGAUUUGUGAAAAUGCUAUUAUGUGUUAGAUAGAAUGCAGGGUACUUUCCAUAAGUCAACUUGGUUAUUUCUCAGAGGAAUUCCAGGAAAUAGGAUUUUACACAUGUGGGAAACAGGCUGAGAGAGGUUAUUUAAUUUGCCAAAGGUCACACAGCUGGUAUUAGAGACAGAAUAUUAAAGUAGGCGUUUCUUACCCCAAAAUCCACUCUCUGCACCAAGAGGCCACUCAGAAAAUAUAAAAAUAAGCAAAUCAAAUAAAUUGACUACGUAAGUUUGAAGGCUUCAAGAAAAUAUAAAUACUUCCACCCAGAAAUUCUAUGUCCUGGUUUCAUUCCUAGAAAACCACUUGUAGAGGUACACAGAGGACUCCCCAACGAUCCUUAACACAGCCAUAUGACUGAUAGCCCUCAUCCCACCCCCCCAAAAAAAGUCUAGUGAGAAGAAAAUGCUUAAAAAUAUUCUGAUGCAUGCAUAUCAUGGAGUUCUUUCCAGCAGUCAAAGAGAAUGAAGGCAAAAAAUGGAAAGCUCUCCAAAACAUAUCGUUCACUGAAAACCAAACUGUGACAUACUGCAUAGAGUUUGAUAGCAUUCCACAGAAUAAAAUUUUAUUCUGUGUGGACAUAUAUUAAUAUAUACAAAUGCAGACCGGGCACGGUGGCUCACUCCUGUAAUCCCAGCACUUUGGGAGGCCGAAGUGGGUGGAUUACUGAAGGUUAGGAGUUUGAGAUCAGCCUGGGCAACAUGGUGAAACCCCAUCUCUAUUAAAAAUACAAAAAUCAGCUGGGCGUCAUGGCGCACCCCUGUAGUAGCCUGUAAACCCAGCUACUCUGGUGGCUGAGGCAGGAGAAUCACUUGAACCUGGGAGGCAGAGGUUGCAGUGAGCCAAGAUCGUACCACUGCACUCCAGCCUGGGCAACAGAGCAAGACUCUGUCUCAGAAAAACAAAAACAUAUGCAAAUGCAUAUAAUAAAAGUCUUGGAGAAAUGGAACGUACAUCAAACAGACAACAGAUUGGCAUUGAGAUGCCAAGCCAAAGGAAUGCUUAUCUGUAUUUUCAUUUUUUUUUUUUUACAAUGAGGAUACAUUUUUUAAUGAGAAGCAAUAUAGCAUAAUGGUUAAGGGCAUAGCUCCUAGAGCCAGUUCAAAUCCCAGCUCUGAAGCUUACCAGCACUGUGCCUGCGUCAUGACUUAAGCUGUCUGUAUAGUGGAGAUGCUGGGCAUGCCAACCUCCCAGAGAAGCUGUGAAGAUUAAACUAAGAGUUACAGGUAAUACACUCAUAAAAGCUGCUGGGGCCGGGUGUGGUGGCUCAUGCCAGUAAUCCCAACACUUUGGGAGGCUGAGGAGGGUGGAUCCCCUGAGGUCGGGAGUUCGAGACCAGUCUGGCCAAGAUGGUGAAGCCCCAUCUCUACUAAAAGUACAAAAAUUAGCUGGGCAUGGUGGCACACACCUGUAAUCCCAGCUACUCUGGAGGCUGAGGCAGGAGAAUCACUUGAUCCUAGGAGGUAGAGGUUGCAGUGGGCCGAGAUCGCGCCGUUGCACUCCAGCCUGGGUGAAUGAGCCAGACUCUGUCUCAAAAAGAAAAACUUCCUGGCAUGGAGUGAGGGCUACCUAAACAACUGAGACCAGGAGGCAGGGGAUAGGGAAGGUAUGGGAAAUUGGCCAGCACAAUUACCACCUGAUGGUGGGAGUUCACACGCAAGAAUCCACUUUGCAUACCUGUGUGCUGUGCAUUCCUGUGGAAUACACCACCACUCCCCACAGCACACCCAGAUAAAGUACUGGGCAGCAUGGCCUCUUCCCCUGGUCCCCAAGACACCUGAGGACAGCCUCCACUGGCAGCACUGAUGUCGGAUACCUAUCAGGAGGUGAUGUUGGGAAAACCACACUACAGCCUAGGUGAGUAUACCUCCAAAUUCAUGUACACCUGGGACAUCAGAGUAUGCCCUUAUUUGAAAAUCAUGUCUUUGCAGAUAUAAUUGUUUAAGGAUCUUGAGAUAAAGUCAUCCUGGAUUUAGGGUGGGUCCUAACUCCAACGGCUGGAGUCCUUAGAAGAAGAGGAGACAUACCAAGGGAAGAAGGUCACCUGGAGAUGGAGGCAGAGAUUGGAGAGAUGCAGCCACAAGCCAAGAAACACCUGGAGGCACCAGAAACUGGAGGACGCAAAGAAUGGCCCUCGCUUAGAGCCUUCAGAGGGAGCAAGGCCCUGCUAACACCUUGAUUUUGGACUCUGGCCCCCAGAACUGAGAAUAAAAUUCUGUUGUUGCAACCCA
Long non-coding RNA from Homo sapiens (human), 4233 nucleotides. RefSeq lists it as uncharacterized. The record is from RefSeq and is a predicted model, not a curated record. The transcript has 4 exons. NCBI's taxonomy places the organism in Eukaryota, Metazoa, Chordata, Mammalia, Primates, Hominidae.